AAGAGACCAACUGUUUCCUCG
This 21-nucleotide microRNA is filed under the name Pteropus alecto (black flying fox). Its description in RNAcentral is "pal-miR-9999-3p". Lineage: Eukaryota; Metazoa; Chordata; Mammalia; Chiroptera; Pteropodidae. The record is from miRBase by way of RNAcentral.